RNAcentral lists this long non-coding RNA (1221 nucleotides) under Zostera marina. RNAcentral describes it as "long non-coding RNA (ZMAR_LNC005036)". The record is from RNAcentral. Lineage: Eukaryota; Viridiplantae; Streptophyta; Magnoliopsida; Alismatales; Zosteraceae.
UUAUACACAAUAGUGUUAAUAUUUGGACUGUUAUACCCUUCACUUAAAUUCUUUGAUCCUUCCAAAGAUCCGUUCAGACUUCUCAAUGCCUCUAUUUGUGUUCUAUUCACAUUGGUUAAAUAUCCCUGGCCCACCUUGUUUGAAAGAGUUGCACUUUCCAAGCUACCUGUUUGACUUCCCAAGGUAGCAUUUGAAUUUGCUUGACUUGAAUCUAGCCCUCUUCUUGGACUAAUUAAUUGUUGCAAGUUACCGUUGAGCCCUUCCAAUGCCCCUCCUUGUGGGCUGUUCACACUCUUUGAGUCAUCUUGGCCCACCGAUAUUAAAUGUUUGGCUCCAAUCAAGGUAGAUGGUUGUUUUUCCAAGUGCCUUUGUUGGGUUCCCAAGGUAGCAUUUGAAUUUGCUUGACUUGAAUCUAGCCCUCUUCUUGGACUAAUUAAUUGUUGCAAGUUACCGUUGAGCCCUUCCAAUGCCCCUCCUUGUGGGCUGUUCACACUCUUUGAGUCAUCUUGGCCCACCGAUAUUAAAUGUUUGGCUCCAAUCAAGGUAGAUGGUUGUUUUUCCAAGUGCCUUUGUUGGGUUCCCAAGGUAGCAUUUGAAUUUGCUUGACUUGAAUCUAGCCCUCUUCUUGGACUAAUUAAUUGUUGCAAGUUACCGUUGAGCCCUUCCAAUGCCCCUCCUUGUGGGCUGUUCACACUCUUUGAGUCAUCUUGGCCCACCGAUAUUAAAUGUUUGGCUCCAAUCAAGGUAGAUGGUUGUUUUUCCAAGUGCCUUUGUUGGGUUCCCAAGGUAGCAUUUGAAUUUGCUUGACUUGAAUCUAGCCCUCUUCUUGGACUAAUUAAUUGUUGCAAGUUACCGUUGAGCCCUUCCAAUGCCCCUCCUUGUGGGUUGUUCACACUCUUUGAGUCAUCUUGGCCCACCGAUAUUAAAUGUUUGGCUCCAAUCAAGGUAGAUGGUUGUUUUUCCAAGUGCCUUUGUUGGGUUCCCAAGCUGUCUUUCCACGUCCUUUCUCCACUUCCCAAGUCAUCCUGACCCACAUAAUUAAGAAUUGAAAUUAUAUUUUUUUAAAAUUACCCAUAUUUUUUAGCAAAUGUAUAUAAGUUCAGGGUAAAUUUGCAAAAUUUACCCUAUUUUCAGGCGACCGCCUAGGCGUCGCCUGAAACGCCUAGGCGACCAUGCGGUCAUGGCCAUCGCAUGACCGCAUGGUCGCCUAAAAAACCUUGG